AAGAGUUACUAUAAGCACUUAUCAAUGUUUUGGUAAAAGAUGAAAGUAUCUUUAGAAUGGGUCCAUUAUUAAGAGUUGAUCAUUUAUGCGCUAAUUUCAUCUAAUAUAAAUAUUCAACUGAUUGCUUUUUGACACAGUGGUAAUAUAAUAUUUUGUAUUGAUUGCUUCAAUGCUUUUAGCCAGGUCUUAAUGAGAAAUUAAAAUGCAUAAAGCAACAUUCAAUGUUGGAAGUUUCUUUGAUUAAUAUUCAGGUUCAAGGUUAGGAAAUCAAUCAAAGAGACUGCCUUAAUUCUCUCUAAUGAUGAUGUUGAUGGUGGCAGGGCUUGGCAAGGCGAGGUGUAGGCUCGAUGCAUGGAGGUGGGACUGUGGGGAUGGUGUUGUAACAGCGGGGACUUCAAUGCGACUAGGGUACCGUUGCUGUGAAGAAAAUGGUUUAUUUUGAUUACAUCCCCACUUAUCUAAAAGGGUAAUGACGAUUUUUUAUUCUUAGGCAUCAUCUUUGAUUAUUUUUUAUAAUAAUUAUUAUAUAUUAAAAUAACUCAUGAGUUUGAAGAAAAAUAAUACAGUUUUGGUUUUUUCUUCUGUUUAUCUGGAUUUAUGGCUUGAUAGAGAUGAUAAUGGGUUUUAAGUCUCAAAUACAGUAGUUUUAAGGAAAAACUGAAGUUUAGGUUUAUAUUUUUGCAUUGAAUAGUAUUUUUAUUUUUUUCUAUGAAGUUUCAGGAAAGAUAAAUACAACAUUUAAAUUUGUGAUUAACUUAUUUAGUUCUAGUUGGCCAAAUUCUUAGACAAUUCGCAGUUAAUGUAAUAGGGUGUUCAUGUAAGAUGUUAAUGAUGUUGGGUAUUAUGGUCUUGCAGCUAAGCUUUUAUGGAGGGGUGCUGAGUGUUGGAAUGAGUGUUUAAAGCUUUUGGGUGUUGCUGAAGCAGCAGAAGCAUCAAUGGAUUCUGACCAGUUAAGCUCUGGAAUUUCAGAUUUUGAUACUCACUUUCAAGGCCUC
This is a long non-coding RNA of Humulus lupulus (European hop), 995 nucleotides long. RefSeq lists it as uncharacterized. The transcript has 3 exons. The record is from RefSeq and is a predicted model, not a curated record. NCBI's taxonomy places the organism in Eukaryota, Viridiplantae, Streptophyta, Magnoliopsida, Rosales, Cannabaceae.